CACAUCCUGUGCUCAGUCUCCAGUAUGAGCAUGCUUUAAUUUUCCUUACUUUUGUCUUAACAUCAGCUGAAUGGAGUGUUCAUUUUGGUCAUUCAGUUUUGUUUUAUUAUUAUUAUUUUUAUUUAACUAAUAUUAAUUUAUUAAUAGCCUUCUCUAACCUUUUAUAAGAAUCUUUUCUACAUUCAACAUGGCACAAAGACAGAAGAGAGUCAUAGUGUCUGAAGACAAACCCAAAUCUCAAGAAGACACUGGAUCACCUGAGUCUGAAGGAUUGAAACUUGUGAGACAAGACAGCAAGAAAUUAGCUCCACCUAAUAUGUCUGAAAACAAAGUCAAACCUCAGAGUGAAAGAAAAUGUGAGAUGGAAAGUAGAAUAACAGAUUCACAAACCAGCAGAUCGCUUAAAGGUGAAGUACUGAAACCUGUGAGACGGAACAGCAUUCGAGAUCGACCCAGCAUGUCUGAAGACACACUCAAACCUCAAGAAAACACUGGAUACCUUGAGUUUGAAGGACUGGAAAUUAAUUGUGUGACAAAACAGCAAGGAAAUACUGUAGAUUCACUUAAUGUUUUCUGGAGUGAAGAGUGCCAGUAUCCCUCAGAACUGAGUUCUGAGUUCUAGCAUGUAAUGGGAAAUGCUUCAUGUACUCCCACAUGAUAGCAGUGCAUGUGUUUCAUGAACUGUAAGACAUAUAUUUGUACAUCGCAUAUUUGUACUUUAGUAACUAUAUUAGUAAGCAAAAGCUAAUGUCUGUAACUGGUUUUGAUAUGGUUUUUGAUGUUUUCUCAGAAUAUUUUAUGUGUAUAAGUUCUGUUAAAUCUGGCAUUAACAGGUAUGUUGAUCACAGUUACAAUGAGCAUCUUUUUUUCAUGAAAAAUGUGGUUUAGAGGAGAUUGAACACAAAAUGAAAUUUUAAAUCCUUGGUGAUUAAUCAUAUCAUCUGAUCACAUGCCUGUGUAACUGUUUUCAUUAUUGUGAAAUAGGAAACCUUGUCUAAAGUACUCCCUUGAAGGUUUUAAACUUUGAACUAAACUGAGCAUUAAUGUGAUCUUUUUUAUAAAGCCUGUAAAGUUUUGUAGGAUUGUACAUUAACAUGCUAUAUGUAAAUAAAUAAUGGCAUAGGCUUAUUAUUUAACA
This is a long non-coding RNA of Cyprinus carpio (common carp), 1138 nucleotides long. NCBI's taxonomy places the organism in Eukaryota, Metazoa, Chordata, Actinopteri, Cypriniformes, Cyprinidae. The record is from Ensembl.